This is a long non-coding RNA of Jatropha curcas, 887 nucleotides long. RefSeq lists it as uncharacterized. Lineage: Eukaryota; Viridiplantae; Streptophyta; Magnoliopsida; Malpighiales; Euphorbiaceae. The record is from RefSeq and is a predicted model, not a curated record.
CAUGUAGACUACAUCGUAUCCAUAAAUUCUCACUCAUCUCUUACCUCCUUAAACUAAAGCCUCCCUGCCUUACUCCAACUAUAAAUUCUGAACUCGCACACGAAAAUGGAUGAAUUCAAAGGUCAGCCUCGCCUCCCAGAAAUUUGCCGCCCCUAAAGGCUACGAUCGAUAUCAGGCUGAAACCGGACCUUUCCGCCUGCACAUUCGCAUGGCAAAGUCUCUAUGGACCUUGACAUCGUCGUUGCCACCAAAUUCAUUGUCCUAAACUCCGCUGACCUCUCUGUCAAGUCCGGCUCCAACUACUUCACCUCCUCUAAGGUGUUUAAGCCCGUGAAAGUUGAUUUGGUGGUAGCAGAUGAGAUACUGGUGUUGGAGUUCGCUGAGACACUUCACAUCGGUGUGUGAGUUCUUGCGAUUGAGUUCGCCGGAGUUUUGAAUGACAAACUCAAGCGACUUACAGAAGUACCUAUGAUCAUAACGGUUAGAAGAAGAGCAUAGCAGUCACUCAGUUUGAGCCAGCUGAUGCUAGGAGAUGCUUUCCAUGUUGGGACGAGCCUGCUUGCAAGGCUAAAUUCAGGAUCACUCUAGAUGUGCCAUCUGAAUUGGUAGUUCUUUCCCAUGUGCCAGUUCUUGAGGAGAAAGUGGAAGGAACUCUGAAGACAGUUUCCUACCAGGAAACACCUCUCAUGUCUAUAUAUUUGGUGGCAAUUGUCGUUGGUUUGUUUGGUUAUGUUGAAGAUCACACAUCCGAUGGUACAAUUGUACUUUAUUCAGUUAUUUGUUGGUGAUGGAACGACGCUUGCUCUUCAUGUUGUGUAAUCUUGCCAAAACUAUAUAGGGAUCAAUGUUCGAAGUUUGCAUUGCAUGUUGCUGUGUGUUGUGCGGUG